This 397-nucleotide ribosomal RNA is filed under the name uncultured bacterium. RNAcentral describes it as "partial 16S ribosomal RNA". It matches the Rfam family "Bacterial small subunit ribosomal RNA", at positions 523 to 918 of the family's 1533-position model. The record is from RNAcentral.
AUACGUAGGGGGCGAGCGUUGUCUGGAAUGAUUGGGCGUAAAGGGCGCGUAGGCGGCCCGGUAAGUCUGGAGUGAAAGUCCUGUUUUUAAGAUGGGAAUUGCUUUGGAUACUGUCGGGCUUGAGUGCAGGAGAGGUAAGUGGAAUUCCCAGUGUAGCGGUGAAAUGCGUAGAGAUUGGGAGGAACACCAGUGGCGAAGGCGACUUACUGGACUGUAACUGACGCUGAGGCGCGAAAGUGUGGGGAGCAAACAGGAUUAGAUACCCUGGUAGUCCACGCGGUAAACGAUGAAUGCUAGGUGUUGCGGGUAUCGACCCCUGCAGUGCCGGAGUAAACACAAUAAGCAUUCCGCCUGGGGAGUACGGCCGCAAGGUUGAAACUCAAAUGAAUUGGCGGGG